ACGGCGAGUGAAGCGGCAACAGCUCAAAUUUGAAAUCUGGCCCCCUCGGGGCCCGAGUUGUAAUUUGCAGAGGGAGCUUUUGGCGUCGGUCGUGGUCUAAGUUCCUUGGAACAGGACGUCACAGAGGGUGAGAAUCCCGUACGUGGCCGCCGGCCUUCGCCUUGUAAAGCCCCUUCGACGAGUCGAGUUGUUUGGGAAUGCAGCUCUAAAUGGGAGGUAAAUUCCUUCUAAAGCUAAAUACCCGCCAGAGACCGAUAGCGCACAAGUAGAGUGAUCGAAAGAUGAAAAGCACUUUGGAAAGAGAGUGAAAAAGCACGUGAAAUUGUUGAAAGGGAAGCGCUUGCGGCUAGACGUGCCCGCGGUUGAUCAUCCAGGCUCCGGCCUGGUGCACUCCUCCGCGGGCAGGCCAGCAUCAGUUCGGGCGGUCGGAUAAAGGCCUCUGUCACGUACCACCCCUCGGGGUGGCCUUAUAGGGGAGGCGCAACACGGCCAGCCCGGACUGAGGUUCCGCGCAUCUGCUAGGAUGCUGGCGUAAUAGCAGCAAGCGGCCCGUCUUGAAACACGGACCAAGGAGUCUAACAUCUAUGCGAGUGUUUGGGUGUCAAGCCCGAGCGCGCAAUGAAAGUGAACGGAGGUGGGAACCCUCACGGGUGCACCAUCGACCGAUCCUGAUGUCUUCGGAUGGAUUUGAGUAAGAGCAUAGCUGUUGGGACCCGAAAGAUGGUGAACUAUGCCUGAAUAGGGUGAAGCCAGAGGAAACUCUGGUGGAGGCUCGCAGCGGUUCUGACGUGCAAAUCGAUCGUCAAAUUUGGGCAUAGGGGCGAAAGA
This 828-nucleotide ribosomal RNA is filed under the name Torula chiangmaiensis. RNAcentral's name for it is "partial 28S large subunit ribosomal RNA". It matches the Rfam family "Eukaryotic large subunit ribosomal RNA", at positions 86 to 930 of the family's 3401-position model. RNAcentral also lists the same sequence under 1 other name. The record is from RNAcentral. Lineage: Eukaryota; Fungi; Ascomycota; Dothideomycetes; Pleosporales; Torulaceae.